RNAcentral lists this ribosomal RNA (272 nucleotides) under Escherichia coli. Its description in RNAcentral is "partial 16S ribosomal RNA". It matches the Rfam family "Bacterial small subunit ribosomal RNA", at positions 1 to 269 of the family's 1533-position model. Lineage: Bacteria; Pseudomonadati; Pseudomonadota; Gammaproteobacteria; Enterobacterales; Enterobacteriaceae. The record is from RNAcentral.
AAAUUGAAGAGUUUGAUCAUGGCUCAGAUUGAACGCUGGCGGCAGGCCUAACACAUGCAAGUCGAACGGUAACAGGAAGAAGCUUGCUUCUUUGCUGACGAGUGGCGGACGGGUGAGUAAUGUCUGGGAAACUGCCUGAUGGAGGGGGAUAACUACUGGAAACGGUAGCUAAUACCGCAUAACGUCGCAAGACCAAAGAGGGGGACCUUCGGGCCUCUUGCCAUCGGAUGUGCCUAGAUGGGAUUAGCUAGUAGGUGGGGUAACGGCUCACC